This 527-nucleotide ribosomal RNA is filed under the name uncultured bacterium. RNAcentral describes it as "bacterial SSU rRNA". It matches the Rfam family "Bacterial small subunit ribosomal RNA", at positions 777 to 1302 of the family's 1533-position model. The record is from RNAcentral.
AAUAGAUACCCAGGUAGUCCACGCCGUAAACGAUGAGUGCUAAGUGUUAGAGGGUUUCCGCCCUUUAGUGCUGCAGCAAACGCAUUAAGCACUCCGCCUGGGGAGUACGGUCGCAAGACUGAAACUCAAAGGAAUUGACGGGGGCCCGCACAAGCGGUGGAGCAUGUGGUUUAAUUCGAAGCAACGCGAAGAACCUUACCAGGUCUUGACAUCCUUAUGCCAUCUCUAGAGAUAGAGCUUUCCCUUCGGGGACAUAAGUGACAGGUGGUGCAUGGUUGUCGUCAGCUCGUGUCGUGAGAUGUUGGGUUAAGUCCCGCAACGAGCGCAACCCUUGAUCUUAGUUGCCAGCAUUCAGUUGGGCACUCUAAGGUGACUGCCGGUGACAAACCGGAGGAAGGUGGGGAUGACGUCAAAUCAUCAUGCCCCUUAUGACCUGGGCUACACACGUGCUACAAUGGAUGGUACAAAGGGCAGCGAAACCGCGAGGUUAAGCCAAUCCCAUAAAACCAUUCUCAGUUCGGAUUGCA